Molecule: non-coding RNA, 153 nt
Filed under: human gut metagenome
Source: RNAcentral
AGGUGCCUGUGCCAUUGCUGCACGGGAGAAUAGGGAAGCGGGCGAGAUGCCCCACAGCCACCACUACUGUAAGCGCAGGAUUUCCGGCUUUCACUGCCUGACGGCGGGAAGAAAGUCAUAGAGGAAGCGCAUUAGUCAGGAGACCUGCCUAUU